AACAUUCACAGAUGAAUUUAUUUCAGUUCUCUUAAACAAAAAGUCUAUGUCUAGAACUUUCUGCGUCAAAAUAUCAAUUUCGGAGUUUCACGUCGAAAAAGCAUUAAGCACAAAAAUAAACCAUCAACAUAAAUGAAAUAGAGAUUAUAUAUAACCAGCCAGAUUAAAAGAUUACAUGAGAAUUAUAACUAACUAAACCUAAUCUCAAUAACACAGAAAAUUAGUUAUACAUGAUAACUUUACAAUGAAGAAUUAAAAGAGAUGGAAAGAUGUUGAAUGAUUCCUCCUCUCUCCCUUGGUCACUCUCUGCCUCGUGGGAAUUUAUGCUCCUUCUCCCUCUGUUUCUGUGUGUUUUG
This 356-nucleotide long non-coding RNA is filed under the name Trifolium pratense (red clover). RNAcentral describes it as "long non-coding RNA (TPRA_LNC013997)". The record is from RNAcentral. Lineage: Eukaryota; Viridiplantae; Streptophyta; Magnoliopsida; Fabales; Fabaceae.